UACGUAGGUGGCGAGCGUUGUCCGGAUUUACUGGGCGUAAAGCGCGCGCAGGCGGCAGUCUAAGUCCUCUGUGAAAUCACCCGGCUCAACUGGGUGGCUGCGGAGGAGACUGGGCAGUUUGAGGGGCCUAGAGGCCGGUGGAACUCCCGGUGUAGUGGUGAAAUGCGUAGAGAUCGGGAAGAACACCAGUGGCGAAGGCGGCCGGCUGGGGGCGCCCUGACGCUGAGGCGCGAGAGCGUGGGGAGCAAAUCGG
RNAcentral lists this ribosomal RNA (253 nucleotides) under uncultured bacterium. RNAcentral describes it as "partial 16S ribosomal RNA". It matches the Rfam family "Bacterial small subunit ribosomal RNA", at positions 524 to 776 of the family's 1533-position model. The record is from RNAcentral.